This is a non-coding RNA of Parelaphostrongylus tenuis, 75 nucleotides long. Lineage: Eukaryota; Metazoa; Nematoda; Chromadorea; Rhabditida; Metastrongylidae. The record is from the annotation of a GenBank genome assembly.
GGCGUUGUAAGUGCAGUUGGUUAAGCUCGCGCCCCUGGAAAGGGUGAGAUGGGGUUCGAGUCCUGCCUAACGUCA